RNAcentral lists this ribosomal RNA (493 nucleotides) under uncultured bacterium. RNAcentral's name for it is "bacterial SSU rRNA". It matches the Rfam family "Bacterial small subunit ribosomal RNA", at positions 28 to 569 of the family's 1533-position model. The record is from RNAcentral.
AACGAACGCUGGCGGCAUGCCUAACACAUGCAAGUCGAACGAGACCUUCGGGUCUAGUGGCGCACGGGUGCGUAACGCGUGGGAAUCUGCUCUUGGGUUCGGGAUAACAGUUGGAAACGACUGCUAAUACCGGAUGAUGUCUUCGGACCAAAGAUUUAUCGCCCAGGGAUGAGCCCGCGUCGGAUUAGCUAGUUGGUGAGGUAAAGGCUCACCAAGGCGACGAUCCGUAGCUGGUCUGAGAGGAUGAUCAGCCACACUGGGACUGAGACACGGCCCAGACUCCUACGGGAGGCAGCAGUGGUGAAUAUUGGACAAUGGGCGAAAGCCUGAUCCAGCAAUGCCGCGUGAGUGAUGAAGGCCUCAGGGUUGUAAAGCUCUUUUACCCGGGAUGAUAAUGACAGUACCGGGAGAAUAAGCCCCGGCUAACUCCGUGCCAGCAGCCGCGGUAAUACGGAGGGGCUAGCGUUGUUCGGAAUUACUGGCGUAAAGCGCG